RNAcentral lists this long non-coding RNA (1083 nucleotides) under Anolis carolinensis (green anole). Its description in RNAcentral is "lncRNA (ENSACAG00000037517.1)". The record is from RNAcentral. Lineage: Eukaryota; Metazoa; Chordata; Lepidosauria; Squamata; Anolidae.
AUGGCCAUCCAGCCUCUGUUUGAAAGCCUCCAAGGAAGGAGCUUCCACCAGACUCUGAGGCAGAGAGUUCCACUGUUGAACAACUCGUAUGGUCAGGGAGAAAUCACCAAAGAAGAAUUCAAACGUAUAGCCAACACCUGUAGGGAAAAGGUUCGCAAGGCUAAAGCGCAAAAUGAGCUCAGGCUUGCCAGGGACAUAAAAAACAACAAAAAAGGCUUUUUUGCUUACGUUGCUAGAAAAAGGAAGAAAAAGGAGGCGAUAGGGCCAUUGCAAGGAGAAGAUGGGGUGAUGGCGACAGGGGACAGGGAAAAGGCAGAACUACUUAAUGCCUUCUUUGCCUCGGUCUUCUCACAAAAAGAAAGCCAUCUUCAACCUCAGCAACACGGAAUGGACGAAGGAUUGGGGGAAAUCCAACCCCAAAUAGGGAAACAAGUUGUCCAGGAACACUUGGCCUCUCUAAAUGAAUUCAAGUCCCCAGGGCCAGAUCAGCUACAUCCAAGAGUAUUGAAGGAACUAGCGGAAGUUAUUUCAGAACCACUGGCAAUUAUCUUCGAGAGUUCUUGGAGAACGGGAGAGGUCCCAGCAGAUUGGAGGAGGGCGAAUGUGGUCCCUGUCUUCAAGAAGGGAAAAAAGAACGACCCAAACAAUUACCGUCCGGUCAGCCUCACAUCAAUACCAGGCAAAAUUCUGGAAAAGAUCAUUAAGGAAGUGGUCUGCGAACACUUAGAAACAAAUGCGGUCAUUGCUAAUAGUCAACACGGAUUUACCAAAAACAAGUCAUGCCAGACUAAUCUGAUCUCUUUUUUCGAUAGAGUUACGAGUUGGGUCGAUACAGGGAAUGCCGUGGAUGUAGCGUACCUGGAUUUCAGUAAGGCCUUCGACAAAGUCCCCCACGACCUUCUGGCAAGGAAACUAGUAAAAUGUGGGCUAGACAAAACUACGGUUAGGUGGAUCUGUAAUUGGCUAAGCGAACGAACCCAAAGGGUGAUUCUCACCAAUGCGUCGUCUUCAUCAUGGAAAGAAGUGACAAGUGGAGUGCCACAAGCUCCGUCCUGGGCCCGGUUCUGUUCACAUCUUUAUUAA